GACGAACGCUGGCGGCGUGCUUAACACAUGCAAGUCGAACGGACAGGCCCUGCUUUUGUUGGGUGCUCGAGUGGCGAACGGGUGAGUAACACGUGAGUAACCUGCCCUUGCCUUUGGGAUAACUUCAGGAAACUGGGGCUAAUACCGGAUAGGAGCUCCUGCUGCAUGGUGGGGGUUGGAAAGUUUCGGCGGUUGGGGAUGGACUCGCGGGUUAUCAGCUUGUUGGUGGGGUAGUGGCUUACCAAGGCUUUGACGGGUAGCCGGCCUGAGAGGGUGACCGGCCACAUUGGGACUGAGAUGCGGCCCGGACUCCUACGGGAGGCAGCAGUGAGGAAUAGUGCACAAUGGGCGGAAGCCUGAUGCAGCAACGCCGCGUGCGGGAGGACGGCCGUCAGGUUGUAAACCGCUUUCGCCUGUGACGAAGCGUGAGUGACGGUAAUGGGUAAAAAAGCACCGGCUAACUACGUG
This 468-nucleotide ribosomal RNA is filed under the name uncultured bacterium. RNAcentral describes it as "partial 16S ribosomal RNA". It matches the Rfam family "Bacterial small subunit ribosomal RNA", at positions 28 to 507 of the family's 1533-position model. The record is from RNAcentral.